CACAUGCAACUCGAGGGAUAUUGGUUUUCGGACCAAGAGACCGGCGCACGGGUGCGUAACGCGUAUGCAAUCUACCUUUCACANAGGGAUAGCCCAAAGAAAUUUGGAUUAAUACCUCAUAGUAUUAUAGAAUGGCAUCAUUUUAUAAUUAAGGAUUUAUCGGUGAAAGAUGAGCAUACGUCCCAUUAGCUAGUUGGUAUGGUAACGGCAUACCAAGGCUACGAUGGGUAGGGGUCCUGAGAGGGAGAUCCCCCACACUGGUACUGAGACACGGACCAGACUCCUACGGGAGGCAGCAGUGAGGAAUAUUGGACAAUGGGCGCAAGCCUGAUCCAGCCAUGCCGCGUGCAGGAUGACGGUCCUAUGGAUUGUAAACUGCUUUUAUACGAGAAGAAACACUCCGACGUGUCGGAGCUUGACGGUAUCGUAAGAAUAAGGAUCGGCUAACUCCGUCCCAGCAGCCGCGGUAAUACGGAAGAUCCAAGCGUUAUCCGGAAUCAUUGGGUUUAAACGGUCCGUAGGCGGUUUANUAAGUCAGUGGUGAAAGCCCAUCGCUCAACGGUGGAACGGCCAUUGAUACUGCUAGACUUGAAUUAUUAGGAAGUAACUAGAAUAUGUAUUGUAACGGUGAAAUGCUUAAAGAUUACAUGGAAUACCAAUUGCGAAGGCAGGUUACUACUAAUUGAUUGACCCUAAUGGACGAAAGCGUGGGUAGCGAACAGGAUUAGAUACCCUGGUAGUCCACGCCGUAAACGAUGGAUACUAGCUGUUGGGAGCAAUCUCAGUGGCUAAGCGAAAGUGAUAAGUAUCCCACCUGGGGAGUACGAACGCAAGUUUGAAACUCAAAGGAAUUGACGGGGGCCCGCACAAGCCGGUGGAGCAUGUGGUUUAAUUCGAUGAUACGCGAGGAACCUUACCAAGGCUUAAAUGUAGUUUGCCGGUUUGGAAACAGAUCUUUCCAAGACAAAUUACAAGGUGCUGCAUGGUUGUCGUCAGCUCGUGCCGUGAGGUGUCAGGUUAAGUCCUAUAACGAGCGCAACCCCUGUUGUUAGUUGCCAGCGAGUCAUGUCGGGAACUCUAACAAGACUGCCAGUGUAAACUGUGAGGAAGGUGGGGAUGACGUCAAAUCAUCACGGCCCUUACGCCUUGGGCUACACACGUGCUACAAUGGCCGGUACAGAGAGCAGCCACUGGGCGACCAGGAGCGAAUCUACAAAACCGGUCACAGUUCGGAUCGGAGUCUGCAACUCGACUCCGUGAAGCUGGAAUCGCUAGUAAUCGGAUAUCAGCCAUGAUCCGGUGAAUACGUUCCCGGGCCUUGUACACACCGCCCGUCAAGCCAUGGAAGCUGGGGGUGCCUGAAGUCGGUGACC
Molecule: ribosomal RNA, 1373 nt
Filed under: Flavobacterium sp. GOBB3-317_2
Lineage: Bacteria; Pseudomonadati; Bacteroidota; Flavobacteriia; Flavobacteriales; Flavobacteriaceae
Description: 16S ribosomal RNA
Rfam family: Bacterial small subunit ribosomal RNA
Source: RNAcentral